This 748-nucleotide long non-coding RNA is filed under the name Lynx pardinus (Iberian lynx). Lineage: Eukaryota; Metazoa; Chordata; Mammalia; Carnivora; Felidae. The record is from RNAcentral.
CCAGGUUCCGGUGACAUUUGUCGACAUCGCUGUCUACUUCUCUGAGGAUGAGUGGAAGAACUUGGACGAGUGGCAGAAGGAGCUUUACCACAACCUUGUCAAGGAGAACUACAAAACCCUGGUGUCCCUGGGUAAGAGCGCCCUCCCUCCUCUGGGGCAGGCAGCGUGUGCAGAGGGCAGUGAAACGCUUCCCAACCCACGUUCACACCACCCAGGCAAGGUGUUCGUGUUUAUCCCUCAGGGAAAUGCAAGAAACUCUGUGCUUAUAAUGCCCUAAAGAUAGAAUGAUUCUAACAACACGAAGGUUGAAAGCCCAGUUACAGGAACUGCCACUAUAGCACUCAGCUCGGGGCUGCUUUGUUCUGGAAUGUAGCCAAACCGCAUCACUGGCACCUGACUACACGCCUCAUCCCAAUAGCCUUGGACGAGCCACGGUCUGUCUGCUGCUGGCUUUCAGAGUCCAGCUGUUUCUACACCAGAACCUGGGGAUCCGUUCGCUGGUUCUCAAGGUUCCUCAUAAGAGAUUAGCUCGUAUACGUGAUGGCCACCGCCUCGAGGGGCCCUCUGGUGGGGAGGGCAUCUGGGGUGAGGGAGACUUCUGCCGGCGCCCUUGAUCGGGAUCCACUGGUCAACUUCGCUGUGUCCUUCCUUCCCCUCCAACUCAUUCUAGACGCGGAGGGCGCAGUGCCCAAGCCGGAUGCGCCAUCCCAGGCGGAGCCCAGGGAAGAGCCUUGCGUGUGGGAGCAGC